GAUGAACGCUGGCGGCGUGCCUAAUACAUGCAAGUCGAGCGAACAGACGAGGAGCUUGCUCCUCUGACGUUAGCGGCGGACGGGUGAGUAACACGUGGAUAACCUACCUAUAAGACUGGGAUAACUUCGGGAAACCGGAGCUAAUACCGGAUAACAUGUUGAACCGCAUGGUUCAACAGUGAAAGACGGUCUUGCUGUCACUUAUAGAUGGAUCCGCGCCGCAUUAGCUAGUUGGUAAGGUAACGGCUUACCAAGGCAACGAUGCGUAGCCGACCUGAGAGGGUGAUCGGCCACACUGGAACUGAGACACGGUCCAGACUCCUACGGGAGGCAGCAGUAGGGAAUCUUCCGCAAAGGGCGAAAGCCUGACGGAGCAACGCCGCGUGAGUGAAGAAGGUCUUCGGAUCGUAAAACUCUGUUAUUAGGGAAGAACAAAUGUGUAAGCAACUAUGCACGUCUUGACGGUACCUAAUCAGAAAGCCACGGCUAACUACGUG
This 497-nucleotide ribosomal RNA is filed under the name uncultured bacterium. RNAcentral's name for it is "partial 16S ribosomal RNA". It matches the Rfam family "Bacterial small subunit ribosomal RNA", at positions 28 to 507 of the family's 1533-position model. The record is from RNAcentral.